UUGCAAAACACAGGAAACUCAC
Molecule: unclassified non-coding RNA, 22 nt
Filed under: Mus musculus (house mouse)
Lineage: Eukaryota; Metazoa; Chordata; Mammalia; Rodentia; Muridae
Description: oocyte_clustered_small_RNA9032
Source: RNAcentral